AUAAAGGCGCUGAUGGAUGAAAACACCUAACCCCUAAAGCGACGCAGAUCGCUUUCAGUAUACGGCAAUAAAGUUUCUUUCUUUCUCAUCAUGUUUGUAAAUUCUGUAAAUACUCCCUUUUUUAAAUCUUUAUUCUGGAAGACCAAAGAUCUGUCUCAUGUAAAUUAUGAACUUAAAAUCUGUGUAUAGGAUCAAAUUCCCAAUCUGUCAUUUCGUUGCUCUCACAGCCAUACAUUGAGAUUUCAAAUUAAGACACAUGCGCAACUUAAACAGUAUUUACCUAUCUUAAAAGACAGUUUAGCCUAUAAUUAAUGGAGAUCAUUCAAAGAUCACACUUAAUACAAAAAAAUAUUUUUAUUGAGUGCACAGUAACUAAUCUUACAAAUGUAUGUGCAUUUACAUUGUUUAAUUUUAAUUUGUAUUUAUUUACAAAAAAUACUUAAAAUAGAUGCUUUAAAAAUAAAAUGCUAUAAUUAAUAUAUAAAAUAUAUACGUUAUAUAUUAUAAAUUAUUACAAAUUGUAAAUAACUUGUAGGUAAAAAUAACGUUGGAUACUCUUAUAGUUUAUGCAUUCAGUCAUUUGCAAGACCAAGUAUACAGCCAAAAUUGUAGAAAUGGUAUAUCCUGAUGAUCAAACAAUUUCUAUCCAGAAUUUUAUUAUCCAGAAUUAAAA
Molecule: long non-coding RNA, 673 nt
Organism: Monomorium pharaonis (pharaoh ant)
Lineage: Eukaryota; Metazoa; Arthropoda; Insecta; Hymenoptera; Formicidae
Exons: 2
Source: RefSeq, a predicted model, not a curated record